Ceratosolen solmsi marchali is the source of this 171-nucleotide long non-coding RNA. RefSeq lists it as uncharacterized. The transcript has 2 exons. The record is from RefSeq and is a predicted model, not a curated record. Lineage: Eukaryota; Metazoa; Arthropoda; Insecta; Hymenoptera; Agaonidae.
UAAAACAUAGAAAUUCUAGAAAAUAUACUUUCUCUUACGAUUAUGAGGAGAAAUUAAAACAAGUAUGUGAAUCAGGUUAUAUGCAGUCUUGUGGUCCGAAUGUAAACUGUUAAAUUGAAUGUAAAUAUUUGUCAUGUAGUUAUUUCAAAAUAUAAAUCACAUCUACUAUUA